This 400-nucleotide long non-coding RNA is filed under the name Selaginella moellendorffii. RNAcentral describes it as "long non-coding RNA (SMOE_LNC002023)". The record is from RNAcentral. Lineage: Eukaryota; Viridiplantae; Streptophyta; Lycopodiopsida; Selaginellales; Selaginellaceae.
AGGUGACAGACUAUACCAGAGAUAUCGAAGAGAUGCAAAACGUUUCCAGAGAGGAGUACCUGGCCUCUCUUCGAAGGCAAGAAGAACAACGAGCGAGAGCUCCUUCUCGUCGUGAAUCUCACUCGAUGCCUUUGUAAUUCUCCAGGAAAAGCAGUGGAUUCUCGCGAGGAGUGUCAAAGUACCGCGGAGUUGCGAGGCACCACCACAACGGGCGAUGGGAGGCUCGGAUCGGCCGCGUGUUUGGCAACAAGUAUCUCUACCUGGGAACAUACAGUAAGUUUCCAACACUUCCAAGAACAAAACGAAGAACUUACACUAUUGUUUCGUCCAAAGGCACGCAGGAAGAAGCUGCCACGGCCUACGACAUGGCCGCGAUCGAGUAUAGAGGCCUCAAUGCCGU